GCGUGCUUAACACAUGCAAGUCGAACGAUGAAGCCUGAUUACUUUGGUUUUUGGGUGGAUUAGUGGCGAACGGGUGAGUAAUACGUGGGUAACCUGCCCUCCUUUUUGGGAUAAGCCUUGGAAACGGGGUCUAAUACCGAAUAUUCUGGAUGAUUCGCAUGGAUUGUUUGGGAAAGCUUUUGUGUGAAGGGGGAUGGGCUCGCGGCCUAUCAGCUUGUUGGUGGGGUGAUGGCCUACCAAGGCGGUGACGGGUAGCCGGCCUGAGAGGGUGACCGGCCACAUUGGGACUGAGAUACGGCCCAGACUCCUACGGGAGGCAGCAGUGGGGGAUAUUGCACAAUGGGCGAAAGCCUGAUGCAGCGACGCCGCGUGGGGGAUGAAGGCUUUCGGGUUGUAAACCUCUUUCGCUAUCGAACAAGGCCUGCUUUUGGUGGGUUGAGGGUAGGUGGAGAAGAAGCGCCGGCUAACUACGUGCCAGCAGCCGCGGUAAUACGUAGGGCGCGAGCCGUUGUCCGGAAUUAUUGGGCGUAAA
This 532-nucleotide ribosomal RNA is filed under the name Actinobaculum sp. 2012260228. Its description in RNAcentral is "bacterial SSU rRNA". It matches the Rfam family "Bacterial small subunit ribosomal RNA", at positions 42 to 564 of the family's 1533-position model. Lineage: Bacteria; Bacillati; Actinomycetota; Actinomycetes; Actinomycetales; Actinomycetaceae. The record is from RNAcentral.